This 480-nucleotide ribosomal RNA is filed under the name Limosilactobacillus mucosae. Its description in RNAcentral is "bacterial SSU rRNA". It matches the Rfam family "Bacterial small subunit ribosomal RNA", at positions 57 to 494 of the family's 1533-position model. The record is from RNAcentral. Lineage: Bacteria; Bacillati; Bacillota; Bacilli; Lactobacillales; Lactobacillaceae.
GCAAGUCGACGCGUUGGCCCAACUGAUUGAACGUGCUUGCACGGACUUGACGUUGGUUUACCAGCGAGUGGCGGACGGGUGAGUAACACGUAGGUAACCUGCCCCAAAGCGGGGGAUAACAUUUGGAAACAGAUGCUAAUACCGCAUAACAAUUUGAAUCGCAUGAUUCAAAUUUAAAAGAUGGCUUCGGCUAUCACUUUGGGAUGGACCUGCGGCGCAUUAGCUUGUUGGUAGGGUAACGGCCUACCAAGGCUGUGAUGCGUAGCCGAGUUGAGAGACUGAUCGGCCACAAUGGAACUGAGACACGGUCCAUACUCCUACGGGAGGCAGCAGUAGGGAAUCUUCCACAAUGGGCGCAAGCCUGAUGGAGCAACACCGCGUGAGUGAAGAAGGGUUUCGGCUCGUAAAGCUCUGUUGUUAGAGAAGAACGUGCGUGAGAGCAACUGUUCACGCAGUGACGGUAUCUAACCAGAAAGUCAC